CUGAUAGACUAACAUCGUUUUACACUCAGAACAUGUCACCACUCAUGAAAACUUGACACUAUUUUUGUGCUUUAUUAAAGGGAGUGUUUACAUCAUUAGGGGACUCUCGUUUCAACCUUCAGAUUUCCUCUAGGCUGUCAGAUUGGGAUGGUUUCUUUGUCUUCUGGACAUGAUAGCACGCACCUGUAGUCCCAACUACUUGGAAGGCUGAGGUGGCAGGAUUGCCUAAGCCUGGGAGAUCAAGGCUGCAGUGAGUCAUGAUCGCACCACUGCACAGCAGCCUGGGCGACAGGAGUGAGACCUUUUCUCAAAAAAGAAAACUGUGACCUUAACUCUACAUAUUAUCUUGUA
RNAcentral lists this long non-coding RNA (351 nucleotides) under Pan troglodytes (chimpanzee). RNAcentral's name for it is "long non-coding RNA NONPTRT010574". Lineage: Eukaryota; Metazoa; Chordata; Mammalia; Primates; Hominidae. The record is from RNAcentral.